This 249-nucleotide ribosomal RNA is filed under the name uncultured bacterium. RNAcentral describes it as "partial 16S ribosomal RNA". It matches the Rfam family "Bacterial small subunit ribosomal RNA", at positions 86 to 334 of the family's 1533-position model. The record is from RNAcentral.
UUUGGAUGAGUGGCGAACGGGUGAGUAACACGUGAGUAACCUGCCCCUUCUUUGGGAUAACGCCCGGAAACGGGUGCUAAUACUGGAUAUUCACUGGCCUUCGCAUGGGGGUUGGUGGAAAGGUUUGUUCUGGUGGGGGAUGGGCUCGCGGCCUAUCAGCUUGUUGGUGGGGUGAUGGCCUACCAAGGCUUUGACGGGUAGCCGGCCUGAGAGGGUGACCGGUCACAUUGGGACUGAGAUACGGCCCAG